UGUGUAGGCGGUUGUUUAAGUUUGGUGUGAAAUCUCCCGGCUCAACUGGGAGGGUGCGCCGAAUACUGAAUGACUAGAGUGCGGGAGAGGAAAGUGGAAUUCCUGGUGUAGCGGUGAAAUGCGUAGAUAUCAGGAGGAACACCGGUGGUGUAAACGGCUUUCUGGACCGUAACUGACGCUGAAACACGAAAGCGUGGGGAGCAAACA
Molecule: ribosomal RNA, 207 nt
Filed under: uncultured bacterium
Lineage: Bacteria
Description: partial 16S ribosomal RNA
Rfam family: Bacterial small subunit ribosomal RNA
Source: RNAcentral